This 240-nucleotide unclassified non-coding RNA is filed under the name soil metagenome. RNAcentral's name for it is "partial contains 5.8S ribosomal RNA, internal transcribed spacer 2, and large subunit ribosomal RNA". The record is from RNAcentral.
AACUGAUACUACCUGCGGGAACCUGCGGAGGGAUCAUUACUGAAGUGAUUUGGGGAUGUUGCUGGCCCUCUCUCAAGGGGGGGCACAGUGCACUCCUCGAAACAAUUCACAAUUUCCAUCACACCCCUUGUGCACACCUUGUAGGCACCCAAACCCACCUCCGGGUGGUGGGGUCCUAUGUAUUCCUUCAUCUCACACUCUGUUGAAUGGUGCCAUGGGACGCAUCUAAAGGAUUAUUUG